This 630-nucleotide non-coding RNA is filed under the name Ardenticatena maritima. RNAcentral describes it as "filamentous thermophilic bacterium 110S Bacterial large subunit ribosomal RNA". It matches the Rfam family "Bacterial large subunit ribosomal RNA", at positions 1 to 593 of the family's 2925-position model. Lineage: Bacteria; Bacillati; Chloroflexota; Ardenticatenia; Ardenticatenales; Ardenticatenaceae. The record is from Rfam by way of RNAcentral.
AAGCGACUAAGGGCGCAUGGUGGAUGCCUAGGCGCCAGGUGCCGAAGAAGGACGUGGUAGGCUGCGAAAAGCCAGGAGGAGCGGCCAACACGCGUUAAUACUCCUGGAUUUCCGAAUGGGGAAACCCGCUCAGGCGAACCCUGAGCACCGCACGCUGAACACAUAGGCGUGACGGGGGGCACCCGGGGAACUGAAACAUCUUAGUACCCGGAGGAAAAGAGAAGAUUCCCCUAGUAGUGGCGAGCGAACGGGGAAGAGCCUAAACCGAUGCCGUGGAAAAGGCCGUAGCCGUUGCGGUAUCGGGGUUGUAGGACAGGCGUGGGGUGGGCUACGGACCACCCAGGGAGUUACAAAACCGGCGCAUAGCCGAACGUGCCUGGAACGGCAGGCCAGAGAGGGUGAAAGCCCCGUAGGCGAAAUGUGACCGGACUCCUGGGCGCCUGCUCCUGAGUACCACGGGGCACGGGAAAUCCCGUGGGAAGCGACCCAGACCACUGGGUAAGGCUAAAUACGCCUGGCGACCGAUAGUGGAGAAGUACCGCGAGGGAAAGGUGAAAAGCACCCCGGAGAGGGGAGUGAAAUAGGACCUGAAACCAUGCGCCUACAACACCGUGGGAGCCUGCCUUCGGG